Molecule: long non-coding RNA, 617 nt
Organism: Antechinus flavipes (yellow-footed antechinus)
Lineage: Eukaryota; Metazoa; Chordata; Mammalia; Dasyuromorphia; Dasyuridae
Exons: 3
Source: RefSeq, a predicted model, not a curated record
AAUCCAGGGGGAGGUCUCUCUUCUUGGUCAUGAAUACAGCCAAAGCCUUCCAGGGAGCCAGAUCAGAAUCAACACUCUGGGAAAAGAGCUUGAAGAAAAUGCUUGAGGGAAAAGUAGAUAUAAUUCCUUUCCUUUUCUACAAACUCUCUCUAGCAAAGGUGCUGUUCUUCCAAAAGAUUACAGAUACAGAAGACUUUCUAAGUCCAAAAAGUGAGAUUCAGAAUCUUUUGCCUGAGGAAAAAAAGAAUUGCACUCUGAAUUUGUCUAUGGAAUUCAACAUGUUGGUUUCAAAACUGUCCUCCUGAUUGUCUUACUCUCCAUCUGCAUGCAAGAUAUCUUCCUCUGUAUUAAAGAAAAAACAAAAACAAACUUACAAUAAUACUUGCUUUGAAAGCACAUAUAUAAAAAACAGGAAUAUUCCAGAGAUAAGCAUUACCUCUGUUUCAGAAUGACAUGCAAAUUCAUGGUUUAUUCCAUUCAAACUUGCCAACUAACGAAGACCCAGAAACAAUUUUUUAUCAUGUCCUAAUAUCAUAUUCUUCUCCCUUCUUUCUCAAGGAAAGUAUGUAUGUGGACUUGCAAUCUUCAUUUCUACUCCUAUUCUUAUUUUGGGGACA